CCCCCUGCUAUCCAUCCAAAAAAGGUACCGCCAAAUGAAAUAAUAUUUCCCCUCUCUUUUUUACCCCAAAACAUUUCCCUCUCUUAUUUUUCCCCAUUUAGAAAGAGAGAGGUAUUCUCCAUCCAUCAAUUAGAGAGAGGGAGGUACUCUUCGUCCAUUGAUGACAAGAGGUACGUCGUCCAUUGAUAGAAACUCUGAAAACACAUUGAUAGGAGUUACGUUCGCUUCCAGCUCCCAGGUAAUUACAAAGGUUUGUUAGAAGACUUUCUGGAUGAUGGGAUUGUAUCUUCAUGUGUGCAUUUUUCCUUAUCUUAUCUGUUUAUUUUUUGCAAGUGAAAGUAUUGUUUCACAAAAUGGUACCAAAUGGGUACUGCAAAACUUUUCAUGAUUUUACAUAUCUAAAGAAUUCAAAAAAGAUAUAACUUUUCAAAGUUCCAUUAGGUUUAGCUUCAUUUGCAACUUGUGUUUGUGAAUCUGAUAAAUGUUGUUUGGAAUAGGGUAACUAUUAUACUAAGUUCCUGCAAGAUGUCUUUUUUCUGUUAGGUUUAGGUUAGGUGGGACUACUCGCCAAAUUUUUGGUUUUUAAGGAAAGAAACAAUGAAUGAACAAGGGGUAUUAGACCUGGUCUUCAGUUUGAAUUUGCUGCUAUUUCUGUCACUGAUUCCUAUUUUCCUAAUUAGGUAAUCCUAACCUAAUUAUAUGAAAGAAAGAUUGUUCCUUGUUACUAAAACUCACCUUACCUUACAACUAUAGGACAUAAACAUAGAUUGUGGUCCAGUUUCAAAUUUUCAGGUUCAUGAAUAUUUGAGACCAAAGGUGAAUUGCUCUCUCCUAGAGUUAGGUGUUUGCGCUUGGUUGGUUUCUCAUUUGUGUCUGAGCUGAUUAAUAAUUUUUUGUAUUGCUAUGCAACUGUGUGAUUUAUAUGAGAAUGAUUCUAUCUUUGAUAAAUUUGAGUAUUGCCUUAGUGGUGAUGGUUCACGAGUAGCAAUUGGAUCUUAUAGGUUCGUAGAGUUCUUCUUUUUUCUUCUCUCCUAUUGCUUCUUGACCAGUGUGAUUAUUUCUUAGUAAAUACUGUCUACUAUUUCAGCAAUCUAUUCUGUAUGUUUAGUUAUGUGUGGUAAGCACGGAAGCAACUACAUUAGAGGUGAGCAAGAACCCCAGGAUCAGAAAUUCCUGGGGAUGAUGCUAGUGGAAGCUCGUAUGAUUUCACAACCAAACUGCUCCACCUUACAUGGCAUCCAACUAAAAAUUCAAUUGUAUGUGCUGCUGUAAACUGCUUGUACAUGUAUUAUGCAUAAGUCAUGAUAGGAGGAAUGGGAUUCUCUUGGAAGAAGGCUUCGUUUCAAAGAAUAAACAAUUUAGCAACUUACUUUGUCAAUAAACCGACGCUCUAGUUCUUGUUCUCUUCUUACCAUAUUCUCCCUCACCCUUGUAGAAAUUCCCUAUGUCAAAUUCCUGGUAAUUGGUUUUGGGAACACAUUUAAUGAAUGAGUUGCGGCAAUUCUUCACUGCCAGCGUGGGAUCUGAUUUGCUAGUAUACCAACCUAUUCCUGAAAUGGCACAUUGAUUUGAAGUAUUAUCCAUAGAAGAGAUUGCUGGCAUCUACUUGUACUUCCUUAUUCGACAUUAUUAUUUCCUCUGUGAUUCAAUCAAGAGCACCAGAACUUCUGUUGGGAGCUGAGCAAUAUUCUACUACGAUUGACAUGUGGUCAAUGGGUUGUAUCAUGGUUGAGAAGCUAUCCAAAGAACCACUAUUCAAUGGGAAAAUAGAAGUUAAUCAAAUCGACAAGAUAUUCAGAAUUCUUGGAACCCCAAAUGAGAUGAUUUGGGAAGGGUUCUCCAAGCUUCCUGGGGUGAAAGUAAACUUUCUAAGGCACCUAUAAGUAUUAUCUUUCUUCUAUAUUCUAUCAUUACUCUUGCUGGCCGGAGGUUCAUAUUUUUAUUUUUGCCUUUGUUUUCCCAAGCUUCCAUCUUUGGGUGAUUCUGGUUUGGCUUGGCUUUCUGGCUUCCUUUAUGACAGUCUAUGGUGGGGAAAUAUUUUCAUUUUUCUGCUAACCAUUUUAUUUAUUUGUAAUAGGUAUAAUAAUUUAAGAAACAAAUUUCAAAAUGUGACAUCCUUCACGGGGUUACCAGUCCUAUCAGAGGCUGGCCUUGACCUGUUGAUUAAGCUUCUAACUUAUGAUCCUAAGAAGUAACUGCUGAUGCUUCUUUAAACCAUGAAUGGUUUUGUGAAGUUCCUCUCCACAAGUCCAAAGAAUUCAUGCUUACUUUCCCUGCACGACAUGCACAAGAUAGGCGUGUGCGAAGAGAAAUGGAGAGUCCAGAUCCUCAUAAGGAGCAGCGAAGAAAGAAACUGAAGUAGGGGUGUUAGGAUCUGGUGGAUUGUUUGGCUGAUAAGUUAAUAAUGCUCGACAACUGUUUUGUGUUUUGCUUUCCCUAAUACUGAUAGGUUGACGUAUAGGUUAGAUCCAUGCGUUGGUAUAGUACUUUAUCUUAAUGACUUGACUUGAAAUCCUAGACAUUUAUUGUACAUUAAUUAAGUAUAGAAUAUAGUGUUCAAAGAAAUAGAAAGAAUCAACUGAUUGAUGGUUCUUUUAGACUAUAGUUAAUGUGGCUAUUUUGUUUCUUA
This is an RNA transcript of Capsicum annuum, 2629 nucleotides long. It is a transcript of the gene named cyclin-dependent kinase G-2, with no coding region annotated. Lineage: Eukaryota; Viridiplantae; Streptophyta; Magnoliopsida; Solanales; Solanaceae. The record is from RefSeq and is a predicted model, not a curated record. The transcript has 6 exons.